This 335-nucleotide long non-coding RNA is filed under the name Setaria viridis. RNAcentral's name for it is "long non-coding RNA (SVIR_LNC000645)". Lineage: Eukaryota; Viridiplantae; Streptophyta; Magnoliopsida; Poales; Poaceae. The record is from RNAcentral.
AGAAAUGGAGCUAUCUGAACAAGCGCUUCCCGGGUUUUCUAUCUCAUCAAGGAGGUAAGAACGGCACACACACCCCCUUCUGAUGCCUUAAUCUCGGGAUGAGAUUCUUUUUUUUAGAGGGGUAGGCUGUGACGACCGGUCCCUAAUCUUCCUAGUCAAUCGUAUCCUAGCCCUUGAUCAUAGUCAUCUGUCUUGUUUUCCCGACCCCUGAGACCCGACCCCUCCCCGCUUCGCUCCGAUCCCGACCCCGCCAAACCCAGCUCACCGUCAGAUCCUUCUAAGUCUUUCCCAAACGCCGUUCUAUCCGACCAGUGGACCCUUGACAUCUUUUUCCC